Long non-coding RNA from Apis cerana (Asiatic honeybee), 1104 nucleotides. RefSeq lists it as uncharacterized. NCBI's taxonomy places the organism in Eukaryota, Metazoa, Arthropoda, Insecta, Hymenoptera, Apidae. The record is from RefSeq and is a predicted model, not a curated record.
GGACGAACUAUUAAGAAUUAAGAUGUUACAAAACGUAAUUCGAUAUAGUGUACAAUAUUUAUAUAAACAAUUUUUUAUAGAUUUUAACAUAGUUAUUGGCGAAAAAAUUAUGUGCAUUUUUUGGAUUCUUAGAACUGCCUGUUAUUACAUUGGAACGCUUUACGUGUUCGAAAUCGAGCGGAGUGGAGGAGAUGAAUCGCGAUGCAACAUCAUAGCCAAAAUUGGAUUAUUCCGAUAAGCAAAUGGGCUUCAUGAACGUGAAUCGACCGUCAUGUCAUAGAUUGUUAUCGGAAAAUAUAUCAAGUAAUCAAGAAGCUAUCAGGAUCUGGAAAAUACGAAGAUGAAUCAGACGCGAGGAAUUACUUGAUGUUUGGAAAAUAUACGAAUGAUAAUUCUGACGUAAAAAUCAAGGAAUUCUAAGAAGCAGCUUCCUAGGAAGCGGACGAACCUGUUUCAACGCCGGAUUAUACGAGGAUGUUAAUUUUCUAUUAACUCGAUGUAAAAUCAAAAAAAUCACUCGUUUUGAAGAAUCUUAUACAAGUGUGAAAUUUUAUACGGUAUGAUGCGAAAUCAGGAAGUUGCGGAAAAUAUCAAUUAAAUCUUGUAACUUGAUCGAUGAAAUUAUCGCAUGAAAGCGUUUAAUUGUGAUUAUAGAGAUUACCGGAUAAAAUGAUGGGUUUUCCAAGUGAUUGAUUCGAUCUUAUCAGCAAAUAUUAAUUUCUAUAUUAUAAAUUCGAUCUUUGGUUAUAGGAUAUAUGCGUGUUCUCGCAAAUCUAAACGAAUAAUUAAUUAUUUUUUAUUAUAUCUCGUUUGCAAUCCAUUAAAAAAUUUAAUAAAAAUAAUAAAAAAAUGUAUGUAAUUAAUUUUAUUACCACGUUAUAUAGUUUCUUUCAUUAUAAUUUAAUUUUUUAUUGUUUUAUAUGUAAUUAUUUCACAAAAUGUAUUUUCUGGGAAUUGGUUCAUAAGCAAAAAAAUUAAUGUAAAAUCGAUGUAGAUUUUUUAAAUCUUUCAUUGUGAUUUUUUGAUUGAUGAGUUCCAUUUGUACUGAAAAUAAUUUCUAGGUAAUGUCAUCAUUGAAUAAUUAAUAAAUUGCAUUUUCAUAAA